GAACGCUGGCGGCGUGCUUCAUACAUGCAAGUCGAACGAGAAGCUGACUUCGGUCAGUGGAAAGUGGCGGACGGGUGAGUAAUAUGUAGAGAAUCUGCCCUUGAGUGGGGGACAACAGAGGGAAACUUCUGCUAAUACCCCAUAUGAGCUAACUUGAAAUAGUUAUCUUGAAAACUCCGGUGCUCAAGGAUGAGUCUGCAUCUGAUUAGCUAGUUGGCGGUGUAAUGGACCACCAAGGCGACGAUCAGUAGCUGGUUUGAGAGGAUGAUCAGCCACAAUGGGACUGAGACACGGCCCAUACUCCUACGGGAGGCAGCAGUAGGGAAUUUUGCGCAAUGGGCGAAAGCCUGAACCGCAGCAACGCCGCGUGAACGAUUAAGCCCUUCGGGGUGUAAAGUUCUGUCAGUAGGGACGAAUUUUGACGGUACCUACAGAGGAAGCACCGGCUAACUCCGUGCCAGCAGCAGC
This 468-nucleotide ribosomal RNA is filed under the name uncultured bacterium. RNAcentral's name for it is "bacterial SSU rRNA". It matches the Rfam family "Bacterial small subunit ribosomal RNA", at positions 31 to 518 of the family's 1533-position model. The record is from RNAcentral.